RNAcentral lists this ribosomal RNA (323 nucleotides) under uncultured Blautia sp. RNAcentral's name for it is "bacterial SSU rRNA". It matches the Rfam family "Bacterial small subunit ribosomal RNA", at positions 28 to 334 of the family's 1533-position model. Lineage: Bacteria; Bacillati; Bacillota; Clostridia; Lachnospirales; Lachnospiraceae. The record is from RNAcentral.
GAUGAACGCUGGCGGCGUGCUUAACACAUGCAAGUCGAACGGGAAACCUUUUAUUGAAGCUUCGGCAGAUUUAGCUGGUUUCUAGUGGCGGACGGGUGAGUAACGCGUGGGUAACCUGCCUUAUACAGGGGGAUAACAACCAGAAAUGGUUGCUAAUACCGCAUAAGCGCACAGGUACCGCAUGGUCCGGUGUGAAAAACUCCGGUGGUAUAAGAUGGACCCGCGUUGGAUUAGCUAGUUGGCAGGGUAACGGCCUACCAAGGCGACGAUCCAUAGCCGGCCUGAGAGGUGAACGGCCACAUUGGGACUGAGACACGGCCCAG